UACGGAGGGUGCAAGCGUUAUCCGGAUUCACUGGGUUUAAAGGGUGCGUAGGUGGGUUGGUAAGUCAGUGGUGAAAUCUCCAGGCUUAACUUGGAAACUGCCAUUGAUACUAUCAAUCUUGAAUACCGUGGAGGUCAGCGGAAUAUGUCAUGUAGCGGUGAAAUGCUUAGAUAUGACAUAGAACACCGAUUGCGAAGGCAGCUUACUACAGGGAUAUUGACACUGAGGCACGAAAGCGUGGGGAUCAAACAGG
This 253-nucleotide ribosomal RNA is filed under the name uncultured bacterium. RNAcentral's name for it is "partial 16S ribosomal RNA". It matches the Rfam family "Bacterial small subunit ribosomal RNA", at positions 524 to 776 of the family's 1533-position model. The record is from RNAcentral.